GGGGGGGCAAGGGGUUUAACUGUUAUGCUGUUAUGGGGUUAUUUAAUUCUUUGUUAUCUGUUAUUCUGAAAAUUUAUUUGCUGUUAGCUGUUAUUGUCAUAUUCCUUGUUAGCUGUUAUGAGACUAUUAUUUUUAUUGUUAUCUGUUAUUGUGAGAUUGUAUUUAUUGUUAACUGUUAUUGAAAAUUGGAAUGUUAGCAUUUUGACAGCCAAUCUUAAGUAGAAAUUGAAGAUAAUUGAACAUUGUGACUUGGUUUGAGAGUUGUCUCAUUGGCACUUAUACCUGCACAUCUUUUAUAUCUAUUGUGGUCAUUCCACUGGUGAUAUGGAAGUCACGUAUUUGCAGGAUUCCAGUAACAUACACC
Molecule: long non-coding RNA, 364 nt
Filed under: Mytilus galloprovincialis (Mediterranean mussel)
Lineage: Eukaryota; Metazoa; Mollusca; Bivalvia; Mytilida; Mytilidae
Source: RNAcentral